Molecule: ribosomal RNA, 465 nt
Filed under: Vreelandella stevensii
Lineage: Bacteria; Pseudomonadati; Pseudomonadota; Gammaproteobacteria; Oceanospirillales; Halomonadaceae
Description: partial 16S ribosomal RNA
Rfam family: Bacterial small subunit ribosomal RNA
Source: RNAcentral
CCUACGGGGGGCUGCAGUGGGGAAUAUUGGACAAUGGGCGAAAGCCUGAUCCAGCCAUGCCGCGUGUGUGAAGAAGGCCUUCGGGUUGUAAAGCACUUUCAGUGGGGAAGAAAGCCUUGGGGCUAAUACCCUCGAGGAAGGACAUCACCCACAGAAGAAGCACCGGCUAACUCCGUGCCAGCAGCCGCGGUAAUACGGAGGGUGCGAGCGUUAAUCGGAAUUACUGGGCGUAAAGCGCGCGUAGGCGGUCUGAUAAGCCGGUUGUGAAAGCCCCGGGCUCAACCUGGGAACGGCAUCCGGAACUGUCAGGCUAGAGUGCAGGAGAGGAAGGUAGAAUUCCCGGUGUAGCGGUGAAAUGCGUAGAGAUCGGGAGGAAUACCAGUGGCGAAGGCGGCCUUCUGGACUGACACUGACGCUGAGGUGCGAAAGCGUGGGUAGCAAACAGGAUUAGAGACCCCAGUAGUC